Populus trichocarpa (black cottonwood) is the source of this 1079-nucleotide long non-coding RNA. RefSeq lists it as uncharacterized. The transcript has 4 exons. The record is from RefSeq and is a predicted model, not a curated record. NCBI's taxonomy places the organism in Eukaryota, Viridiplantae, Streptophyta, Magnoliopsida, Malpighiales, Salicaceae.
UGACAGAGAUGGCCCUUUUGUCCACCUUCUUUCUUUGUUUUUUGUUUUCUUUCUCUCCCUUUUCUGGGAUGUUGUCUUCGUUUUAUAUAUUCUAGAGAGAACCAUGCGUGAAGUGCUAGAAAUAAGAGGAUGAAGUUGCAGGAUUCAAGGUGCAGUUUGGAGCUAAUUGUGCUCCAUGGCAGCAUCAUUUCUUGGCAGAGAAUGCAAUAACGGGACGAUCCUCUAGAGUCCAAGGUUAUUGGAAAUUGCGUGGAGAUCAAUGGACAUGAAAAUUUAGAUGAAACUUUGAAAGCUGACUGAGUGAUGAUUGAGAUUCCGGCUAGCUCAAUAACGGCACUUUUAUUGGAAUCCGCCAUGUUAUUAACAACAGUACUCUGGGAUAGAUUAGUACUAGUAGCUGUAGCUCUCAAGGGUUGCUCCUGAAAAAAAAGGUCAUAGUUUUGUUGGAGAAAAAUAAGAUGGUCUUCAAAUUCUUGCUGAUCACAAGGGAUAAAAGGAGAGGGCAAGCAGAGAGAUAAAGGAGGAGGGACAUCUUGUUUGGGAUAGGAAAUGAUAUCACUGAACAAGGGCAUGUUAUAAGCUUGUUGAUCACUACAGGAGAUGGCGUCGUUGGCAUUGUAGCUUAAUGGAAACAUUUGAGCUUUGCGAUAUCACCAAACAAUACCUAGCUAGCCGCCGUAGAGCUCCCUUGGGAGGAAUAGUCGCUUGAGAAUGACAUGUGCACCAAUGUGUUACCUAACAAUAUGCCUCCUUGUGCAUAGAGUAUUCUCCACUUCUCUAGCUAGUUCAAGUCCAUGUAUCCUUUUCAAGUUCACUUUCUCUGCAAACAAUGGAAAUCAUAAGUGAGAGACGACAACAAAUUGUUACUACUGUUUACUUGUCAUUUUUUUUUUCCUUCUUUUUUCUCCUUCCCUCCCUUUAUCAGAGAGCGAGUUUGCAUACGCGUAUGUGUUUGGUGAGUUUAAGAUGGAGAGAAACAGGGAAUAUCCAUCUUCCUCCCCGACUAGAGCACGAGAAAGACAGCACAGCACAAGUACUACAUGUCCAUGGGGGGUGCAAGAAUGGGAGAUAAGGGGGAA